RNAcentral lists this ribosomal RNA (440 nucleotides) under uncultured bacterium. RNAcentral describes it as "partial 16S ribosomal RNA". It matches the Rfam family "Bacterial small subunit ribosomal RNA", at positions 338 to 795 of the family's 1533-position model. The record is from RNAcentral.
CCUAUGGGAGGCAGCAGUGGGGAAUAUUGGACAAUGGGGGAAACCCUGAUCCAGCGACGCCGCGUGAGUGAAGAAGUAUUUCGGUACGUAAAGCUCUAUCAGCCGGAAAGCAAAUGACGGUACCUGACUAGGAAGCCCCGGCUAACUACGUACCAGCAUCCGCGGUAAUACGGAGGGGGCAAGCGUUAUCCGGAUUGACGGGGUGUAAAGGGAGCGUAGACGGCAGCGCAAGUCUGGAGUGAAAUGCCGGGGCCCAACCCCGGAACUGCUGUGGAAACUGUGAAGCUGGAGUGCAGGAGAGGUAAGCGGAAUGCGUGGUGUAGCGGUGAAAUGCGUAGAUAUCAGGAGGAACACCGGCGGCGAAGGCAGCUUACUGGACUGUAACUGACGUUGAGGCUCGAAGGCGUGGGGAGCAAACAGGAUUAGAUACCCCUGUAGUC